This 1510-nucleotide long non-coding RNA is filed under the name Melopsittacus undulatus (budgerigar). RNAcentral describes it as "lncRNA (ENSMUNG00000019469.1)". The record is from RNAcentral. Lineage: Eukaryota; Metazoa; Chordata; Aves; Psittaciformes; Psittaculidae.
UGGGCACCAAGAUGGAUCCAGAAGGGUUAAGCAGAGAUGAUGGGCACCAAGAUGGGUCCAGGAGGUGAUGAUGUGGGUCAGGAUGGGUCCUUCAAGGCCAGGAGCAGAUGAUGGGUCCCAGGAUGGGUCCAGCAGACACCGUGGGUGCUCAGCCAGGUCCUUUGGGUGCCAACACGUGGUGAUGUGGGAUGGUCACCAUGAUGUGCGUAGGGUGAGACCUGCCCACCAGCUCCUCCAGCACCCAAAGGUGGGCACCCGGCCUCAAUGAGCCACCCAAAGGGACCCCAGCACCUAAAGCCCCCCCCCCCCAGCACCACCCUUGGGUGCACCCAGCUCUGGUUGUGCCAAUGGUCUCGUUCCCUAUGGGCUGUGCCCUCCUGGUCCCUCUGGUGCCACCUUCUCCAUGGGCUCAGCUCAGCACCUGGAGGCCCUCCCUGCCCCACGGCUGCCCCACAGCUCUGCUCCCAACCAGCCCCCCAACCCCAACAUCGAUGGGGAUGGACCCCAACCCUGCUCAGAUGCCACCCAGGACCACACAGGAUGGAUGGAAGCGUUGCCCAUGGGAUGCUCCUCACUUGUCCCAUGGGUGCCACCAUCCCUUGGUGACCCCACCAUGGCCAAGAGGUGACCCCAUCAUUGCCAUCCCUUUGGUGACCCCACCAUGGCCAAGAGGUGACCCCAUCAUUGCCAUCCCUUGUUGACCCCCAUAACCAAGAGGUGCCCAGUGCCACGGUCAGGAUGGGGUUCGGUUGAUCCCGUGUCUCACUGCAGAGGGGCCGGUGAAGACGCCCCCCACCCCCCCAGCACCCAUGCUCUGGUGGGGUCCGUGUGGGGCGGUGGGUGCUAUAGGACACCCUCCAUGAAGCUGGUGUCCAGGUGCUGGAUGAGCACCCGGAUGAAGGACAUCUCCUUGCGGGUGUUCUCGAAGAUGAUCCGGGGGUCGUCCGACUGACAGCGCAGGCAGUUGGGGGCCAUCACCAUGGCCAGGUUAUUGACGUCCAUCUUGGUGACCGCCACGUUGCCCGGCUGCACGAACACCUGGGGGGCAGGGGGAAAGGGGUGAGGGGGAUGGGUGGAGCUUGGGUGCUGAUCAAACACAUUGGGUGCUGAUCAAACACAUUGGGUGCUGAUCAACCCAUUGGGUGCUGAUCAACUCAUUGGGUGUUCCUCAGCUCAUUGGGUGCUACUCAAACCCAUUGGGUGCUGCUCAACUCAUUGGGUGCUGCUCAACUCAUUGGGUGCUCCUCAGACCCAUGGAUGCUGCUCAGACCCCCCAGUGCUGCUCAGACCCAUUGGGAGCAACUUGGGGGUGAUGGGGAAGGACCAUGUGUAACGGGUUGGGAUGAAAGGGACAUUGAAGAUGAUCCAGUUCCAUGGGCAAGGGCACCUCUGGACAUGGACAGGUUCGUCUAUGGGGGUUUGGAGCUAGAAAUGCUCUAGAGGAGGUGAUGAAGAUGUUGGGAGGCAGUCAGAAGCCACCCCUGAAGAGGGGACUUGGGGGAUGUCCAGG